ACGAACGCUGGCGGCGUGCCUAAUACCUGCCAGUCGCGCGAAGUUUUUCUGGUGCUUGCACUAGAAAAACUUCGCGGCGAACGGGUGAGUAACACGUAAAGAACCUGCCUCAUAGACUGGGACAACUAUUGGAAACGAUAGCUAAUACCGGAUAACAGUAUUUCUCGCAUGAGAGAUAUUUAAAAGUUGGUUAUGCUAACACUAUGAGAUGGCUUUGCGGUGCAUUAGCUAGUUGGUGGGGUAAAGGCCCACCAAGGCGACGAUGCAUAGCCGACCUGAGAGGGUGAUCGGCCACACUGGGACUGAGACACGGCCCAGACUCCUACGGGAGGCAGCAGUAGGGAAUCUUCCGCAAAGGGCGAAAGCCUGACGGAGCAACGCCGCGUGAGUGAAGAAGGAUUUCGGUUCGUAAAGCUCUGUUGUUAGGGAAGAAUGGAUAUGUAGUAACUAUACAUGUAAGAGACGGUACCUAACCAGAAAGCCACGGCUAACUACGUG
RNAcentral lists this ribosomal RNA (498 nucleotides) under uncultured bacterium. Its description in RNAcentral is "partial 16S ribosomal RNA". It matches the Rfam family "Bacterial small subunit ribosomal RNA", at positions 29 to 507 of the family's 1533-position model. The record is from RNAcentral.